This 274-nucleotide ribosomal RNA is filed under the name uncultured bacterium. RNAcentral's name for it is "partial 16S ribosomal RNA". It matches the Rfam family "Archaeal small subunit ribosomal RNA", at positions 473 to 747 of the family's 1478-position model. The record is from RNAcentral.
AAACCAGCACCUCAAGUGGUCAGGAUAAUUAUUGGGCCUAAAGCAUCCGUAGCCUGCUCUGUAAGUUUUCGGUUAAAUCUGUACGCUCAACGUACAGGCUGCCGGGAAUACUGCAGAGCUAGGGAGUGGGAGAGGUAGACGGUACUCGGGAGGAAGUGGUAAAAUCCUUUGAUCUACUGAUGACCACCUGUGGCGAAGGCGGUCUACCAGAACACGUCCGACGGUGAGGGAUGAAAGCUGGGGGAGCAAACCGGAGUAGAAACCCGUGUAGUCC